AAUUUUUAUUUUCUAUUUUAUUAUUGUAAUGAACUUUUAAAACAAGCUGGUUCCAAUUUUAAACAAACUUUAGCAACAAUCUCCAGCUGCACAGUAGAGUGAGGUGCUUAGACCUCAUUUGUGGCUAAUUUGAACAACUAAAAAGGUGUGAUAGCAAAUAUUAACAAGACAACUCUACAAAUUUUCCAAAGUAUUGCAAAUUUUGAAAUUUUUUGAUUUUAGGUUUCGUUUGUAAUGUUUUCAAAUUAAACUUUAAUAUAAAGACGAGCUAGACGUACGUAAAGACAGCGAUUUGGUCACUAAGAUUGUUAGCUGCAUUAUGUUAGACAAAUGGACUUUAUAAGCGCUUUGGUCAGACUUUGCAGAAUAUGCUAGUCAAAUACGUAUCCUCUAAAAAGGAACAAUGGAGUGUUUUUUCAGAUGCAUGUGCUUUUGCGUACAAUACAUUUUGCUAUAAAUCCACAAAGUUCACAUCAUUUUACCUGAUGUAUGGUUGGCAAGCAUAUCUUCCAAUUGACGUAGAUUUCCAAACAAAGUCUUCGGAAGAAUUUUGUGCAUAUUGUUUUCGAUUAAAGCAUCCAGACAUAUCUUUAAGAGAAUAUAAAUUAGUAUUAGAACCAAAAACCAAUGAUUCAAUGUGGGUUAUGCAAGGAAGGGUUCCAUAUAGAAUGCAUUAAAUCGCCAAAAACAGUAAUCUCUUUUGGUGAUGUGGUUGUGAGGAGGUUUUAUUUUGGCUUGAUAUAUUUGUAAUAACUUAUUUUAAAAACUUGUUAUUUUUUGUUA
Hydra vulgaris (swiftwater hydra) is the source of this 783-nucleotide non-coding RNA. The record is from RefSeq and is a predicted model, not a curated record. Lineage: Eukaryota; Metazoa; Cnidaria; Hydrozoa; Anthoathecata; Hydridae.